GAGCCUGUAGCUCAGUUGGUAGAGCACGAGACUUUUAAUCUUGGGGUCGAGGGUUCGAUUCCCUCCGGGCUCACCA
Molecule: transfer RNA, 76 nt
Filed under: Rhodospirillales bacterium 20-60-12
Lineage: Bacteria; Pseudomonadati; Pseudomonadota; Alphaproteobacteria; Rhodospirillales
Description: tRNA-Lys
Rfam family: tRNA
About the family: Transfer RNA (tRNA) molecules are approximately 80 nucleotides in length. Their secondary structure includes four short double-helical elements and three loops (D, anti-codon, and T loops).
Source: RNAcentral